Molecule: ribosomal RNA, 254 nt
Filed under: Pantoea sp. PNT02
Lineage: Bacteria; Pseudomonadati; Pseudomonadota; Gammaproteobacteria; Enterobacterales; Erwiniaceae
Description: partial 23S ribosomal RNA
Rfam family: Bacterial large subunit ribosomal RNA
Source: RNAcentral
CAAGGCUAAAUACUCCUGACUGACCGAUAGUGAACCAGUACCGUGAGGGAAAGGCGAAAAGAACCCCGGCGAGGGGAGUGAAACAGAACCUGAAACCGUGUACGUACAAGCAGUGGGAGCCUCUUUAAUGGGGUGACUGCGUACCUUUUGUAUAAUGGGUCAGCGACUUAUAUUCUGUAGCAAGGUUAACCGUAUAGGGGAGCCGCAGGGAAACCGAGUCUUAACUGGGCGUUAAGUUGCAGGGUAUAGACCCG